Molecule: non-coding RNA, 69 nt
Organism: Ictidomys tridecemlineatus (thirteen-lined ground squirrel)
Lineage: Eukaryota; Metazoa; Chordata; Mammalia; Rodentia; Sciuridae
Source: Rfam
GGGGUUGUGGCUCAGUGGUAGAGUGCUUGCCUAGCAUGCGUGAGACACUAGGUUCGAUUCUCAGCACCA